Molecule: non-coding RNA, 151 nt
Filed under: Gloeochaete wittrockiana
Lineage: Eukaryota; Glaucocystophyceae; Gloeochaetales; Gloeochaetaceae
Source: RNAcentral
UCGACCUCAUGCAACACAUCGAGUCCACUCUCAACAAGGAGAUCGAGGAGAUGCAGAUGGAUGAGGAGUCUGUGAUGCUGAGAGUGCCCAGGGUCCUCAAGGCCAAACACAUCGGCCAAGUCGGAGUGGACGAGGACAGUUCGGGUAACCA